This 453-nucleotide ribosomal RNA is filed under the name uncultured Bifidobacterium sp. Its description in RNAcentral is "bacterial SSU rRNA". It matches the Rfam family "Bacterial small subunit ribosomal RNA", at positions 173 to 640 of the family's 1533-position model. The record is from RNAcentral. Lineage: Bacteria; Bacillati; Actinomycetota; Actinomycetes; Bifidobacteriales; Bifidobacteriaceae.
CUCCGACAUGACGCAUGUCGUGUCGGGAAAGAUUCAUCGGUAUGGGAUGGGGUCGCGUCCUAUCAGCUUGAUGGCGGAGUAACGGCCCACCAUGGCUUCGACGGGUAGCCGGCCUGAGAGGGCGACCGGCCACAUUGGGACUGAGAUACGGCCCAGACUCCUACGGGAGGCAGCAGUGGGGAAUAUUGCACAAUGGGCGCAAGCCUGAUGCAGCGACGCCGCGUGCGGGAUGACGGCCUUCGGGUUGUAAACCGCUUUUGACUGGGAGCAAGCCCUUCGGGGUGAGUGUACCUUUCGAAUAAGCACCGGCUAACUACGUGCCAGCAGCCGCGGUAAUACGUAGGGUGCAAGCGUUAUCCGGAAUUAUUGGGCGUAAAGGGCUCGUAGGCGGUUCGUCGCGUCCGGUGUGAAAGUCCAUCGCUUAACGGUGGAUCCGCGCCGGGUACGGGCGGG